UAGGGAAUCUUCGGCAAUGGGGGCAACCCUGACCGAGCAACGCCGCGUGAGUGAAGAAGGUUUUCGGAUCGUAAAGCUCUGUUGUAAGUCAAGAACGGGUGUGAGAGUGGAAAGUUCACACUGUGAUGGUAGCUUACCAGAAAGGGACGGCUAACUACGUGCCAGCAGCCGCGGUAAUACGUAGGUCCCGAGCGUUGUCCGGAUUUAUUGGGCGUAAAGCGAGCGCAGGCGGUUUGAUAAGUCUGAAGUUAAAGGCUGUGGCUCAACCAUAGUUCGCUUUGGAAACUGUCAAACUUGAGUGCAGAAGGGGAGAGUGGAAUUCCAUGUGUAGCGGUGAAAUGCGUAGAUAUAUGGAGGAACACCGGUGGCGAAAAGCGGCUCUCUGGUCUGUAACUGACGCUGAGGCUCGAAAGCGUGGGGAGCGAACAGGAUUAGAUACCCUGGUAGUCCACGCCGUAAACGAUGAGUGCUAGG
RNAcentral lists this ribosomal RNA (474 nucleotides) under uncultured bacterium. RNAcentral describes it as "partial 16S ribosomal RNA". It matches the Rfam family "Bacterial small subunit ribosomal RNA", at positions 355 to 820 of the family's 1533-position model. The record is from RNAcentral.